RNAcentral lists this ribosomal RNA (692 nucleotides) under uncultured bacterium. Its description in RNAcentral is "bacterial SSU rRNA". It matches the Rfam family "Bacterial small subunit ribosomal RNA", at positions 66 to 753 of the family's 1533-position model. The record is from RNAcentral.
GCAGCGCGGGGAGCUUGCUCCCUGGCGGCGAGUGGCGCACGGGUGAGUAAUACAUCGGAACGUGUCUUCUAGUGGGGGAUAACUGCCCGAAAGGGCAGCUAAUACCGCAUGAGACCUGAGGGUGAAAGCGGGGGAUCGCAAGACCUCCCGCUGGAAGAACGGCCGAUGUCCGAUUAGCUAGUUGGUGAGGUUAAGGCUCACCCAGGGCGACAUUGGUAGCUUGUCUGAGAGGACGACCAGCCACACUGGGACUGAGACACGGCCCAGACUCCUACGGGAGGCAGCAGUGGGGAAUUUUGGACAAUGGGGGCAACCCUGAUCCAGCCAUGCCGCGUGCAGGAUGAAGGUCUUCGGAUUGUAAACUGCUUUUGUCAGGGACGAAAAGGGAUGCGAUAACACCGCAUUCCGCUGACGGUACCUGAAGAAUAAGCACCGGCUAACUACGUGCCAGCAGCCGCGGUAAUACGUAGGGUGCAAGCGUUAAUCGGAAUUACUGGGCGUAAAGCGUGCGCAGGCGGUUCUGUAAGAUAGAUGUGAAAUCCCCGGGCUCAACCUGGGAAUUGCAUAUAUGACUGCAGGACUUGAGUUUGUCAGAGGAGGGUGGAAUUCCACGUGUAGCAGUGAAAUGCGUAGAUAUGUGGAAGAACACCGAUGGCGAAGGCAGCCCUCUGGGACUGACUGACGCUCAUGCA